RNAcentral lists this unclassified non-coding RNA (353 nucleotides) under soil metagenome. RNAcentral's name for it is "partial contains 5.8S ribosomal RNA, internal transcribed spacer 2, and large subunit ribosomal RNA". The stretch from base 1 to 120 matches the Rfam family "5.8S ribosomal RNA", at positions 35 to 154 of the family's 154-position model. The record is from RNAcentral.
GAUGAAGAACGCAGCGAAAUGCGAUAAGUAAUGUGAAUUGCAGAAUUCAGUGAAUCAUCGAAUCUUUGAACGCACAUUGCGCCCGCCAGUAUUCAGGCGGGCAUGCCUGUUCGAGCGUCAUUACAACCCUCAGGCCCCCGGGCCUGGCGUUGGGGAUCGGCGGAAGCCCCCUGCGGGCACAACGCCGUCCCCCAAAUACAGUGGCGGUCCCGCCGCAGCUUCCAUUGCGUAGUAGCUAACACCUCGCAACUGGAGAGCGGCGCGGCCACGCCGUAAAACACCCAACUUCUGAAUGUUGACCUCGAAUCAGGUAGGAAUACCCGCUGAACUUAAGCAUAUCAAUAAGCGGAGGA